Molecule: ribosomal RNA, 460 nt
Filed under: uncultured bacterium
Lineage: Bacteria
Description: partial 16S ribosomal RNA
Rfam family: Bacterial small subunit ribosomal RNA
Source: RNAcentral
CCUACGGGAGGCAGCAGUGAGGAAUAUUGGUCAAUGGACGAGAGUCUGAACCAGCCAAGCAGCGUGAAGGAUGAAUGCUCUAUGGGUUGUAAACUUCUUUUAUAUGGGAAUAAAAUGUUCCACGUGUGGGUUUUUGUAUGUACCAUAUGAAUAAGGAUCGGCUAACUCCGUGCCAGCAGCCGCGGUAAUACGGAGGAUCCGAGCGUUAUCCGGAUUUAUUGGGUUUAAAGGGAGCGUAGGUGGGUUGUUAAGUCAGUUGUGAAAGUUUGCGGCUAAACCGUAAAAUUGCAGUUGAAACUGGCAGUCGUGAGUACAGGAGAGGUGGGCGGAAUGCGGGGUGUAGCGGUGAAAUGCUUAGAUAUCACGAAGAACUCCGAUUGCGAAGGCAGCUCACUGGACUGCAACUGACACUGAGGCUCGAAAGUGUGGGUAUCAAACAGGAUUAGAUACCCCAGUAGUC